This 91-nucleotide non-coding RNA is filed under the name uncultured Lachnospira sp. RNAcentral describes it as "S10-Clostridia ribosomal protein leader". The stretch from base 1 to 81 matches the Rfam family "S10-Clostridia ribosomal protein leader". Lineage: Bacteria; Bacillati; Bacillota; Clostridia; Lachnospirales; Lachnospiraceae. The record is from RNAcentral.
UGAUAGCUAUGAAGCGUGAGGUUGCUGCGUUUGCAGGUUUUUCCGUGGAGCGAAUGUCAAGGCCGGUUAUCCGGCUAACAAACUGGCGACA